ACGGCCGCAUCACGUUGAAACACAGUUUCCCCGUAUGAUCACCAAAGUUAAGCAAAUUCAGGCCUGGUCAGUACCUGGAUGAGUGACAGCUUGGGAAUAUCAGGUGCUGUAA
This is a non-coding RNA of Acanthosepion pharaonis, 112 nucleotides long. NCBI's taxonomy places the organism in Eukaryota, Metazoa, Mollusca, Cephalopoda, Sepiida, Sepiidae. The record is from the annotation of a GenBank genome assembly.